GACGAACGCUGGCGGCGUGCUUAACACAUGCAAGUCGAACGGAAAGGCCCCUUUGGGGGUACUCGAGUGGCGAACGGGGGAGUAACACGUGAGUAACCUGCCCUUGACUUCGGGAUAACUUCAGGAAACGGGGGCUAAUACCGGAUAGGAAUCCUUGCUGCAUGGUGGGGGUUGGAAAGCUUCGGCGGUUUUGGCUGGACUCGCGGCUUAUCAGCUUGUUGGUGGGGUAGUGGCUUACCAAGGCUUUGACGGGUAGCCGGCCUGAGGGGGCGACCGGCCACCUUGGGACUGAGAUACGGCCCAGACUCCUACUGGAGGCAGCAGUGGGGAAUAUUGCCCAAUGGGCGGCAGCCUAAUGCAGCAACGCCGCGGGCGGGAGGACGGUCUUCGGGUUGUAAACCGCUUUCAGCAGGGGCGAAGCUUGUGGUGACGGUACCUGCAGAAGAAGCACCGGCUAACUACGUG
RNAcentral lists this ribosomal RNA (465 nucleotides) under uncultured bacterium. Its description in RNAcentral is "partial 16S ribosomal RNA". It matches the Rfam family "Bacterial small subunit ribosomal RNA", at positions 28 to 507 of the family's 1533-position model. The record is from RNAcentral.